This 253-nucleotide ribosomal RNA is filed under the name uncultured bacterium. Its description in RNAcentral is "partial 16S ribosomal RNA". It matches the Rfam family "Bacterial small subunit ribosomal RNA", at positions 524 to 776 of the family's 1533-position model. The record is from RNAcentral.
UACAGAGGGGGCGAGCGUUGUUCGGAAUUACUGGGCGUAAAGGGCGCGUAGGCGGCCUUCUAAGUCGAACGUGAAAUCCCCGGGCUCAACCCGGGAACUGCGUCCGAUACUGGGAGGCUUGAAUCCGGGAGAGGGAUGUGGAAUUCCAGGUGUAGCGGUGAAAUGCGUAGAUAUCUGGAGGAACACCGGUGGCGAAGGCGGCAUCCUGGACCGGUAUUGACGCUGAGGCGCGAAAGCCAGGGGAGCGAACGGG